UACGGAGGGUGCAAGCGUUAAUCGGAAUUACUGGGCGUAAAGCGUGCGCAGGCGGUUUGUUAAGCCUGUUGUGAAAUCCCCGAGCUCAACUUGGGAAUUGCAAUGGAUACUGGCAGGCUGGAGUAUGGUAGAGGAAGGUGGAAUUCCCGGUGUAGCAGUGAAAUGCGUAGAGAUCGGGAGGAACACCAGUGGCGAAGGCGGCCUUCUGGACCAAUACUGACGCUCAUGCACGAAAGCGUGGGGAGCAAACAGG
Molecule: ribosomal RNA, 253 nt
Filed under: uncultured bacterium
Lineage: Bacteria
Description: partial 16S ribosomal RNA
Rfam family: Bacterial small subunit ribosomal RNA
Source: RNAcentral